GAGACGCUGGCGGCGUGGAUAAGGCAUGCAAGUCGAGAGGGUUAGACCCUCGGCAAACGGGUUAGUAACGCGUAGGAACGUGCCCUCAAGUCAUGAAUAACCCGGAGAAAUCCGGGAUAAUACAUGAUGUGCUCUACGGAGUAAAGAUUUAUCGCUUGAGGAGCGGCCUGCGUCCUAUCAGCUUGUUGGUAAGGUAAUGGCUUACCAAGGCAAUGACGGGUAGGGGGUGUGAGAGCAUGACCCCCAACAUUGGAACUGAGACACUGUCCAAACUCCUACGGGAGGCUGCAGUCGAGAAUAUUCCACAAUGGGCGAAAGCCUGAUGGAGCGACGCCGCGUGCAGGAUGAAGGCCCUAGGGUCGUAAACUGCUUUUGUUGAGGAACAAUUUUUUGAGCGUACUCAACGAAUAAGGGGUUACUAACUCUGUGCCAGCAGCCGCGGUAAUACAAGCCGAAUUCCAGGCACACU
This 469-nucleotide ribosomal RNA is filed under the name uncultured bacterium. RNAcentral's name for it is "bacterial SSU rRNA". It matches the Rfam family "Bacterial small subunit ribosomal RNA", at positions 35 to 539 of the family's 1533-position model. The record is from RNAcentral.